RNAcentral lists this ribosomal RNA (384 nucleotides) under uncultured bacterium. RNAcentral's name for it is "bacterial SSU rRNA". It matches the Rfam family "Bacterial small subunit ribosomal RNA", at positions 31 to 406 of the family's 1533-position model. The record is from RNAcentral.
GAACGCUGGCGGUGCGCCUUAUGCAUGCAAGUCGAGCGAAGCUUUUCAGUAGUUUACUACAGAAAAUGACUGAGCGGCGAACGGGUGAGUAACGCGUGAGCAACCUACCUUAGUUACUGGGAUAGCCCGAGGAAACUCGGAUUAAUACCGGAUAUUCUUAUUUAAUCACAUGAUUUUUUAAGGAAAGGUCAGCCGAACUAAGAUGGGCUCGCGUUCUAUCAGCUAGUUGGUAGGGUAAUGGCCUACCAAGGCUACGACGGAUAGCUGGUCUGAGAGGACGAUCAGCCACACUGGGACUGAGACACGGCCCAGACUCCUACGGGAGGCUGCAGCAGGGAAUAUUGCGCAAUGAGCGAAAGCUUGACGCAGCGACACCGCGUGUGG